UAUUAGUUUGGUGCAAAAGUAAUUGUGAGUUUUGCCAUUGAAAGAAAUGGCAAAACUCACAAUUACUUUUGCACCAAGCUAAUA
Molecule: microRNA precursor, 84 nt
Filed under: Pan troglodytes (chimpanzee)
Lineage: Eukaryota; Metazoa; Chordata; Mammalia; Primates; Hominidae
Description: mir-548 microRNA precursor family
Rfam family: mir-548 microRNA precursor family
Source: Rfam by way of RNAcentral